GGAAGUGGAUAGCUCUCUGGUGGGGCUCCCGGACUUCAAAUCCGGUGUGGGGCAUGAGUAAUGUCUCGGGUGGGUUCGAUUCCCAUGCACUUCC
This 94-nucleotide transfer RNA is filed under the name Desulfarculus baarsii DSM 2075. RNAcentral's name for it is "Selenocysteine transfer RNA". It matches the Rfam family "Selenocysteine transfer RNA". Lineage: Bacteria; Pseudomonadati; Thermodesulfobacteriota; Desulfarculia; Desulfarculales; Desulfarculaceae. The record is from Rfam by way of RNAcentral.